RNAcentral lists this transfer RNA (71 nucleotides) under Magallana hongkongensis (Hong Kong oyster). RNAcentral describes it as "tRNA-Val". It matches the Rfam family "tRNA". From Rfam's summary of the family: Transfer RNA (tRNA) molecules are approximately 80 nucleotides in length. Their secondary structure includes four short double-helical elements and three loops (D, anti-codon, and T loops). Further hydrogen bonds mediate the characteristic L-shaped molecular structure. tRNAs have two regions of fundamental functional importance: the anti-codon, which is responsible for specific mRNA codon recognition, and the 3' end, to which the tRNAs corresponding amino acid is attached (by aminoacyl-tRNA synthetases). tRNAs cope with the degeneracy of the genetic code in two manners: having more than one tRNA (with a specific anti-codon) for a particular amino acid; and 'wobble' base-pairing, i.e. permitting non-standard base-pairing at the 3rd anti-codon position. Lineage: Eukaryota; Metazoa; Mollusca; Bivalvia; Ostreida; Ostreidae. The record is from RNAcentral.
CGAGAGAUAGUAUAAAUAGUUAAUUACAUGACGCUUACAACGUCAAAAUAAGGGUUUGCCCUUUCUCUUGA